This 738-nucleotide long non-coding RNA is filed under the name Bos taurus (domestic cattle). RNAcentral describes it as "long non-coding RNA NONBTAT025657". Lineage: Eukaryota; Metazoa; Chordata; Mammalia; Artiodactyla; Bovidae. The record is from RNAcentral.
CUACAAAUCUGAGGCUGUAGAACAGUUUUUAUUAAUACCAAGUCCUUUGUCAUUUCCCUAUAACAUUUUCAACACUGAGUCUCAGCAAAGUGUUAAAUAAAGUGAUUCUCAUUUAUUUUCUAACAGAAACACCUAGAUCCCAGAGUUAGAAGUGUUUCAAAAUGGCUGGUCAUGCCUUAAAAACUGGUGCUUGUCAAUUCUGCCAGUGAGAGAGAUUAAAGUUAACCUAACACACACCAUAUCACCAGAUGGUAAAGAGUAAUUUUGUCUGAAAUCUGCAUUUUCCUUUAAGAAUAUACAGCACUGAAGCAGAUCUACUUUACUGUACAUACCUCUGUCUAAAUUAAGUCUAAUAGUACACUGCCAUCAUGAAGGUGUUAGCAGAAACGUCACAGGCCUUCUAAGCUACAGUGAAAUACUCACUAUGCAUCUGGGAGAAUGUGAUUCCAACUCCUAUCUGUGGUAUUAUAAGGUGUAUCUGGAUUGAAUAUAGAAUUUUAUUAAAGAACAGUUUAAAAAUGACAAAUAGUUUAAUACUAGAGUUUUUAGGUCUCAUUUUGGUGGGGGAAGGAAAUGGUCUGACUAUCAGAGAAAUGCAUUAAUCAAUUUUCAUAAAUGUAGCUGUGGGUAUCAGCUACACUUCAAACAAGCUCCCCUUUCAAUAUAGCUAGAAGCAAAAUGACAAUAAAAUCCCUGGGCCAGAUGCCAGAUUCUACUAACAUCAAAAACUCAAGGCAG